RNAcentral lists this long non-coding RNA (558 nucleotides) under Ananas comosus (pineapple). Its description in RNAcentral is "long non-coding RNA (ACOM_LNC021826)". Lineage: Eukaryota; Viridiplantae; Streptophyta; Magnoliopsida; Poales; Bromeliaceae. The record is from RNAcentral.
UACAUUAUAGCAGAAGGUCAUGUUAGACCAAGUUAUAUUCGAAAAAGCGUAAUAUUGGAUGGGCCGAGCUAUGUUCAAAGGGGCAUGAGGCUAGUCAGGACAAGUCACAAUCGAGACCCGUGAGCGUUAUAUCUAUACGUUUUAAAUAAAUUCAUUGCGUAUUUCUAAAAGCUCGAGUUUUGGAAAUAAAUGGUUAGCUCCAACGAUCCGACAAGUAAUAUCAGAACCAGAGGUUACGGAUUCAAUUUCAAAUGAAAAGUUGUGUAAAUACUGGAGGGGAGAUUGUUUCUUAAAUAAGCUAGCAUCUUGCUUUGUGGUAGGAGGCUAUGUUGAAGUUAUGUUCGAAAUGGCGUGACGCUGGAUGGGUCGAGUUAUAUUCGAAAUAGUAUGAGAUUAGCUGGAUCGAGUCACAAUCGAAAUCCGUAGGUGUUGUAUCUGUACGCUUUAAGUAAAUUAUUUGUGUAUUUCUAACGGUUCGAGUUUUUGGGAUUACUAGUUACGAUCCGACACGGUCAACCACGGUAUCCAGCUUUUUUGAUCUUCUAAUUCUAAUUGUCG